UAGGGAAUCUUCCACAAUGGACGAAAGUCUGAUGGAGCAACGCCGCGUGUGUGAUGAGGGGUUUCGGCUCGUAAAACACUGUUGUAAGAGAAGAAUGACAUUGAGAGUAACUGUUCAAUGUGUGACGGUAUCUUACCAGAAAGGAACGGCUAAAUACGUGCCAG
Molecule: ribosomal RNA, 164 nt
Filed under: uncultured bacterium
Lineage: Bacteria
Description: partial 16S rRNA
Rfam family: Bacterial small subunit ribosomal RNA
Source: RNAcentral